UUCUUACGUAUUGUGAUAUGCAUACGCACAGUGUUGUACAUAUGAAUACUUCAUGAAACAAAUGUAUGCAGUUUUUGUUAAAAAGCUUCACUCUCAACCAUUUAUUUGCUCAAAAGGGUUUAAGAGCACACAUGUGUUUACAUAGUUCAGCCAUAAAGGAAGUAUUGAUGUACUCAAAUCUGUAGAAGAGAAAGCUCACUGCUCUCAUUAAGAGUGACAAUGUUGCACAUCUGAUCCUACUACUGUAAUACCUUUGUCAUCAGCUGGUUAUACAGCUGAAUAAGUGCCUGAUCUUUUUUUUACAUGUUGUCGUAUGUGCUAAUAAGUAAGAAUGCUGUUCAAAUCUCAAGUGAUCAAUAACACAUACGCAUCAUCACACUGAUGCUCACUGUCGAAGAUCCCAAACCGCAUGUCGAGCUGCUUGGUUAUCAGUUUUCAUGCAAGUUAUCAACUAGCCAACUGUAAAAUACAGAUAUAUGAAGCAAAUUUGCCUCUCUGCUCUACUUUCCUAUAGACCCUGGGUGUUGAUGCACAUGAUUAAUACCUAUUUAUACUACAAGGGUACAUAAAAUGAAAGAGAAAAUAAAAAGAGGUAAAAGACGAAAGAAAGGCAGGCAGGUUAACCAGGUUGAAUUGACUUGCUGCCCUACAGUCAGAGGGAAGGUGAUCAGAAAAAGAAUUACUCAUGAAGGCACAAGGGAUGUGUACGCACACAUAACCGUGUUCAUCAAUGAUGCAUCUAUGAGGACUCACGUUCAUACUCACACCUACUCACUAACAUUCAUACUCACGCCAACUCACUCUGAUGUGUACUCACUCACGUUCAUACUCAGGUUUGCUCAUGCCCCUCAUCACUCACUCGUAGUCACAGUCAUGCUUUUCAAAUGAGUGUGUGUACUCACAAGUGAGUAGUAUGUCAAGCCGUAGUCGUCAUAUCUACUGUAGGUAAGAGACCUAUAUACACAAAGAUGGUUGCAAGUGAUUCAGUUCGACAGAAGUGAGUUUAGUAUUGAGAAAAAUAUUUGUCUAUAUUCAUGGUUUGGCUACCCAGAAACUUUACAAGGUGGGCUGUAGUAGGAUGUCCUAAAGUAAGUGAAUGACGUUAUUUAGGUGUGGCUAAGCACAGCAUGAAAUUACUCGUUUAACCUUUGUAGCAGCACAUUCGCAGUGGCAACAAAGACACGUUCAUAUUGUCAUAAAAUGCCUUCAUGAACACUGUUCUUCAUUUGUCAUAGGUGUGCGUUAUUGAACUUCUGGUAUUCUUAGUAUUAAACCAACAAAGACUUCAACCAAAGAAGGCCCGGUGACCUGUAGGCUUUUGCUAAUUGAAAAGGUUCACAUUGAACAAGCACUUUGCCUUAAGCAGUAUUAGGCAGUACUUCCUGCAUUAUAUACGUCAUGAGAGCAUACUCAGAGUCACCUUAAUAUGUAACUUGCACGCACUUAACUUCUGCCUAAAGGAUCAUACUAAAUGUAUCUCAGGGAUCCCAAUUUGAGGUAGCAAGUGUACGUGGUUUAGACUAGUAGUGCUACCUGUGUGUCCUGUAUAUGAUGCCAUUUAAACUUCUCUGAGACUGGUUUUGGUGAAAUACAUUUUCUUCCACGAUGUGCCACAUGUGUGCACAGUGUCAUGCGUACGAAAACUUUAUGUAAGAGACAAACGUAUUCAGUUUUUGGUAAAGAGUUUCACUCUCUCCCAUCUAGUGUACAGAGAGUCUUAGUGCACAGAUCUGUUUACAUAGUUCAGCCAUUGGUGUACUUACACCUGUUCAAGAGAAAGCUAUCACCAAAAGUGACAGUCUUGCACUUCUGAUCUUAUUACCGUAAUACAUUUAUCGUCAAGUUAUAUGGCUAAACAACUGCCUCAUUUAUUCACAUGUUGUUGUAUGUGCGAGCAAGUGUGGACAUUGUUCAAAUCACAGGCGAUCAAUAACACCUAUGCAUCGUCAUACAGAAGCUCCCUGUUGAAGAUCCCAAACCACAUGUUGAGGUGCUUGGUUAUUACUUUUCAUGCAAGUUAUCAAGUGGCCAAUUUGAAGUACAGACGAAUGAAGCAAACUUGCCUGUGCUCUACUUUCUAAUAGACAAUGAGUCUUGACACAUAUGUUUAAUACCUCUUUCAACAACAAGGGUAGAUGAAAUGAAGUGGAAAAAAAAGAGAGGCAAAAAGAUGAAAGAAAGGCAGGGAGGUUAACCAGGCUGAACUGAUUUGUUGCCCAACAGUGGAAGGGGGGGGGGGGCGUGGUCAGAAAAAGAGCACAACUGAUGUGCAUGGACACAUAACAGUGUUCAUCAUUGAUGCACGGAUACUCACGUACAGAGCUGGGUUGUUUUGAGAAAUUGCAAUAGCAUUGUUUCAGCCCGCAUUGCAGAUUAUGCUUGCAAUGGUAUCUUAUAUGAUAAAAUUUAAGCGCCUGUUUUAAUAAGUUUGGAGACGCAACAAGGGCUUUAGAAUUUAGAUCAUGGCUGCGUGGACACACAUGUGCAACACAGAGAGUGCAAUAAAGUGAGGAUGCUCGAGGUUCACCUUAAUUAAAGAGUGCAGCACGAUAGCAUAAUCGUGGGGCCCCGAGUGCAUCAUCUUCUCAACUGCUAGCCUGGCUUCAGUUCUCGGUGAAUGCCUCAACCGUGCCGCAAGGAAACGAACUUGUGUGCGCGUAACAUGGGCCAUUUCAAACUAUCCUAGAAUGUCUAUACUGCAAGUACAGUUGCGUAAUACCCACUACGCUGUAGCUCGUCGUUUUGGAAAGGGUGAAUUUUCAAACAAUCAACAUUGUACACUUUCUAUCACUUUAAUUUGUGCCCCUAGUUUUUUGUUUAGCUCGGUCCCUUUUUGCGGUCCUUAUUUUGCAAUAUCGUCAAGUGGAUAAUGCCAAAAAAUAGAAAAAUAACCGGUGUGCAAGCAAACACAGUGCCACACACAUAUUCUAACCUAAUGUUUUUUGUUGUAUUUUUAAGUUUCAGCACCCAACACGCUAACAGGAAUAGCAGUACAUCAAUGUAAAUGAAAAAAAAAGAAAAGAAAAAAAAAGCAUUAACUGACUCUAACCCACGUAAACAAGUUGUGAUCUCUACGCGCGAGCCUGCUACUCCAGCCUGCUACGCCACCCGCACACCCGUCGUGACAGCUUCCUAAUUUAAUAGAUGAAAGUGCUUACGCGCUAUCCGAGAGUGCAUAGUAGGUACAAUAUGAGAUCAUACUUAUUAUUGCGGGCAUAUAUUUUGGGACCGUAUCUACGCCUCACACUUUUCUCGUAUCUUUUCACUAUAGGUUGCCGAUCGCUCGCGUAUGAAAACACGGAUGCUUACACACAAGCAAUGUAAUUUACGCAAGCAGUUGAAGCUUGUUCCCCGAGGCUCUCUUGCGAUUAAUAGUCGGCUAUCGCGCGAAACUGGAGUGAUACGCCGUUAACCCGUGCGUCUAGCUGUGUUCCCCUCCGUGGCUGUCUCGCUCGAUCACGAAUUCAGCGCGGGAAAUGAAGCACACGGCAGUGCCGCGCGUAGCGGCGACAUCAGCUGAUCACGCCGGCUUGCUUCCCUUUGCUUCAACGCAACGAAACAUAUGCUUUGCAAGAUCACAUACUGCAUUACGUAAAAGUGUUACUGCUUUGGAGUCAUCCUGCUAUUCACUGAGGACGUACAUACAACUACUGUAGAGUUUUGCUUCGGCGGCAAGCAUCGAUCGUAAAGCCGCACUACUACGUCCGUGGUACAAGCAGUAGAAACCUGUCGUCUGCUAGAACAAAAAGAAAAAAAAAUCUACUGGAAAAGUAUUUACCUUGUCUCGUAUAAAUUUUUCUUGAAGACAAGUCAUUAUGUUUUAACUAUUUUGCCCAAUAACAUGCAUUCUCUAACAAUUUCACACGGCGACGUUUUCUUUUUCUUUUUCACGAACAACAAUUCAAGCUAGAUCCAUCCAUAGCCGAAGCCAGAUGUUGUUUGCCUUUGUUUGCGAGCGUCUCGUGUGUGUUCUCGUCCACAAGAAGAUUAAAGGUAAAAGCAUUAAAUUUACGUAAGGAAGCUUCGUUCCUCGUUUGUGCGGUGUGCAAAGAUUGCGCGCAAUUCCCGCUGUUCUCGGAGUGCCGAUGAAGUACGAGUCGUUCAAGGAAUCAACGAAAUGUGCGGGCGCUCGAAUGACUCCAUGGCUGACGCCCGUGGCCACCUGCUACACGCCAGUGCGAAAGAAACUAAAGCACUGUGGGGGCUGCAGGGUGGCUUUGCCAGUAGGAAGGGCGGAAAUUCCUGAAGAUGUAUUCAUCCAUGCUGCAUCAGCUGCUUGGUGUUUUCAUGGCAUCUCUGCACAUGUGCUGGGUUGAUCUUAAGCAGAAAACCAGAAGCGGCAGUGGUCUCCAGUAGAGACCCAAGGACCCCAAGCUCUCUGUGACACAAACAGGAAGGGCACUGUGGUGCAUUGAAAACCUGCGCCAGUAGUGCAUUACCAGUGCACUAUGCUGCUGUUUCAUCAAGGAGAAAGGAGGUGACCACCCUCAGAGGAACUUCAUGCUCUACAGUACAGUCCUUACUGCAUUUCGUGGUCUUGGAUCUCGGGAUUCAGUAUGCUUUUGAGUGUCACGUGGAGAAGUGUGGAAGGCGUUCCUCCAUGGAAGAGCGGUGACCGGAGCGUGAGCUGAUACCUGGCAGACAAGCUGGAUGUCAUUGCAACUGGUGGCGUAAGGAGAAGACAACAAGAUGCUUGUGUGGUUGUGCGUGCCGGGACUUGAUUGCGUCUUUUCUCAGACUACACUGUUUUUACUUGUACACAUGUAAAAUAAAUAUUGUUUGCUCAAUUUGAGAUAUCAGAAACUACUGUACAAGUCAGUUUUCACCUUACAGAAAAUAGAUUUUAGUGUCCCCAAAUGGACGGUACGAAAUCCUAAUGGGAUCUGAUGCGGAAACCGAAUAUAUUAAAACUGCGUCCUGCAGUUUCCGCAUGACCACAAUUCCG
Rhipicephalus sanguineus (brown dog tick) is the source of this 4945-nucleotide long non-coding RNA. RefSeq lists it as uncharacterized. The transcript is spliced from 5 exons. Lineage: Eukaryota; Metazoa; Arthropoda; Arachnida; Ixodida; Ixodidae. The record is from RefSeq and is a predicted model, not a curated record.